RNAcentral lists this ribosomal RNA (969 nucleotides) under Lacticaseibacillus paracasei. RNAcentral's name for it is "bacterial SSU rRNA". It matches the Rfam family "Bacterial small subunit ribosomal RNA", at positions 148 to 1103 of the family's 1533-position model. The record is from RNAcentral. Lineage: Bacteria; Bacillati; Bacillota; Bacilli; Lactobacillales; Lactobacillaceae.
AUUUGGAAACAGAUGCUAAUACCGCAUAGAUCCAASAACCGCANGUUCUWGGCUGAAAGAUGGCGUAWGCUAUCGCUUUUGGAUGGACCCGCGGCGUAWUASCUWKUUGGUGAGGUWAUGGCUCACCRAGGCRAUGAUWCGUARCCUAACUGAGAGGUUGAUCGSMCACAUUGGGACUGAGACACGGCCCAAACUCCUACGGGAGGCAGCAGUAGGGAAUCUUCCACAAUGGACGCAAGUCUGAUGGAGCAACGCCGCGUGAGUGAAGAAGGCUUUCGGGUCGUAAAACUCUGUUGUUGGAGAAGAAUGGUCGGCAGAGUAACUGUUGUCGGCGUGACGGUAUCCAACCAGAAAGCCACGGCUAACUACGUGCCAGCAGCCGCGGUAAUACGUAGGUGGCAAGCGUUAUCCGGAUUUAUUGGGCGUAAAGCGAGCGCAGGCGGUUUUUUAAGUCUGAUGUGAAAGCCCUCGGCUUAACCGAGGAAGCGCAUCGGAAACUGGGAAACUUGAGUGCAGAAGAGGACAGUGGAACUCCAUGUGUAGCGGUGAAAUGCGUAGAUAUAUGGAAGAACACCAGUGGCGAAGGCGGCUGUCUGGUCUGUAACUGACGCUGAGGCUCGAAAGCAUGGGUAGCGAACAGGAUUAGAUACCCUGGUAGUCCAUGCCGUAAACGAUGAAUGCUAGGUGUUGGAGGGUUUCCGCCCUUCAGUGCCGCAGCUAACGCAUUAAGCAUUCCGCCUGGGGAGUACGACCGCAAGGUUGAAACUCAAAGGAAUUGACGGGGGCCCGCACAAGCGGUGGAGCAUGUGGUUUAAUUCGAAGCAACGCGAAGAACCUUACCAGGUCUUGACAUCUUUUGAUCACCUGAGAGAUCAGGUUUCCCCUUCGGGGGCAAAAUGACAGGUGGUGCAUGGUUGUCGUCAGCUCGUGUCGUGAGAUGUUGGGUUAAGUCCCGCAACGAGCGCAACC